CAGAAGAGCCUGGCAGCCUGUGCUCCAUGGGGUCACAAAGAGUCAGACACUAUUGAAGCGACUCAGCUCAAGCACAGCACUCAGGGGAAACCAGUGCUGCCGUGUUUCUGUUCACGUUGCUUCAUAACGUUACAUUCUUUUCUCAGCGUUUAUACCAUUUGAAAUUUAGCUCAAGCGCUUUUAUAUUUAAUUAUAAAUUCAAUGUGUUUCUUAUGUAUAUUGAACUUCUUUCUCAAAUUUACCUUCUUUAUUUCUGUAAUUCUCAAGUAUAUCAAUAUUGAUAUUAAUGGCAAAGAUCUCGGAGACAUUAACAUUGCUACCUCUAAUUAUUUCCUGUAUUGUAUUUUCUUGCUCUGUUGUGGACUGCCUCUGUGUUGUCCUUGUUUUGUAUUAAGUAUUUAGUAUUAUUUGAUUUUAGGUUUUUUUCCUCUUGCAAGUUACAGUGGAGUUUGUGUUUUAAAUAAAUCAACAGUUUCUUUUAAGUUUAAGCAGAUUCUAUUAAUAUUUAUUAUUUCAACCUUCAUCAAUUCGGGUCUCAAACGUAUUGGAUUGAUGCGUUACUUUUAACGUGACAUUUACAUGUUUCGUGACCCUUGCCAUAUUCCCUUCAGUUCUCCAACAGUCAUUUAUUUAGAGCAAAUAUAAAAUGUUAAAGCAAUUUAGAGUUUCUCUGAAUACUUGAGUGAAAAACUGAAAAUCUAAAACUGCAAAGUUUGAUUUGAGACUUCCUUGGCCAUUCUGUGGUUAGGAUUCAGUACCUUCACUGCCAUGGGUCCAGGUUCAAUCCCCAGUCAGGGAACAAAGGUCUCAAAAGCCACGUGGCUGUCACAGCCAAAAAUAAUAAUACACUUUACAAAGUAACUUCCACUGAUGUGACUAUUCACUUCUAGUUCUUACCAGGACUGUUGCUUUUAGUCAACAUAGUAAAGGUUCACAAGACACAUGAUACCGAUAGAGAUGCUUGUGAAGUUCUGUUCAAGCAUAAACAGAGGGGAAUGUCCAAAAGUUAAAUGAAAAUAAACUGACUCCUUACUCAAGAAAAUAAAAAUAUGUUAUUUUUGAAUGCACUGAGAAUGAGGGCAAGUUGGAUGCAGUUUGCAAAAUGAGUGCCAUGUAUUCCAAAUGUGAUGACUGGAAAAUUUUUGGAGUCCUGUGGUCAAUAAGGCCCUAAUCAACUUGAAUUAAAUAAUUCUCAUUUUAAGGUGAAGCAUAUGAGGAUAUUGCAAUGAGUCCGGUAUUCUUAUCUAGCUUGUCAACUUGCUCUGAAGACAGUUCUCGUCCUGGGAGUGAAAAUCUUUUUGAAUGAUGAUGAUGCUGUUGCCAUCAUUAGACAUCAUGUUUCCUGGCCUAUUUUUCAAGACAUGUUGAAACUACAUCUAGGUACAUGUACAACUAAGGCAACAAUGGGAAAAUCUGUGUUGAGUGUCACAUAGAUUCUUCCACUUUGUUGGCUACCCCAGGAGCUUUAACCAAGAAAGCAGCUGACCCAGGUGAGGUCUGAGAGGAGAGUUUAAGUGGCAGGGGUUACUUCAUCACACCAGGCUCUCCAUGUGUUCCUAGAAGUCCCUCAUGAUCUUUCUUCAGGGAUCCGUUAUCCAGCAUUGGACUGGAGUAAGGAGCAAGGUAAAGUACUGAGAGAAUGAAGAUCUGAUGCAGCCUUCCUUCUCUGUCUUCCUCGUCCUCAGCUUCGGAGUCUUUCUUGAAUAGUGAGUGAUG
This 1716-nucleotide long non-coding RNA is filed under the name Capra hircus (goat). Its description in RNAcentral is "lncRNA (ENSCHIG00010005295.1)". Lineage: Eukaryota; Metazoa; Chordata; Mammalia; Artiodactyla; Bovidae. The record is from RNAcentral.